RNAcentral lists this ribosomal RNA (253 nucleotides) under uncultured bacterium. RNAcentral's name for it is "partial 16S ribosomal RNA". It matches the Rfam family "Bacterial small subunit ribosomal RNA", at positions 524 to 776 of the family's 1533-position model. The record is from RNAcentral.
UACGGGGGGGGCAAGCGUUGUUCGGAAUUACUGGGCGUAAAGGGCUCGUAGGUGGCCAACUAAGUCAGACGUGAAAUCCCUCGGCUUAACCGGGGAACUGCGUCUGAUACUGGAUGGCUUGAGUUUGGGAGAGGGACGCGGAAUUCCAGGUGUAGCGGUGAAAUGCGUAGAUAUCUGGAGGAACACCGGUGGCGAAGGCGGCGUCCUGGACCAACACUGACACUGAUGCGCGAAAGCGUGGGGAGCAAACAGG